CUCAUCUUCACACGUCACAUCCACCAAAUCACAAGAUGAUCACAAUAUUCUGCGCUUUCUUCACUCUUCUGACCUGUGUCAGUGGAGUGACUGUAGUGACUCAGAGUCCAUUAAUCACAGUCAGUAAAGGAACAGAAACGGCUAAAACUGGACUGUAAUCUGGGGACAGUAACUGAUUCUUCUGCUAGAUGGUACAAACAGACUCCAGCAGGAGCUCCUCAGUAUGUGUUAAGAUUUUAUCAUGAGUCGAGCUCAGCUCAGUAUGGAUCUGGUUUCUCUGCUCCUAAAUUCACAUCAACACAUUCAUCUAAAUCAGAUUAUAGUCUGAUCAUCAAUAAUGUGGAUGUUGAUGAUUCUGCAGUGUAUUACUGUCACACAUGGGACAAGACUGCUAAGGAGAAUUCAGUUGUUCACUUCUGUAUGGAAAAUGCUGCCCCUUCCCAAAGUGGAUUUGCUCACUGUAAACAACAGACUAAUUUGCAAAUAAUCUUAAAAACCUCAUCUACAAAUGAACAAUAAUUAAGGAUGAAUGACAUUAUCUGGUUAAAUAGAUGACAAGCAGUUUAUCUUUUAUCUCCGAGCUAGGA
Cyprinus carpio (common carp) is the source of this 587-nucleotide non-coding RNA. The record is from the annotation of a RefSeq genome assembly. NCBI's taxonomy places the organism in Eukaryota, Metazoa, Chordata, Actinopteri, Cypriniformes, Cyprinidae.